RNAcentral lists this ribosomal RNA (492 nucleotides) under uncultured bacterium. Its description in RNAcentral is "partial 16S ribosomal RNA". It matches the Rfam family "Bacterial small subunit ribosomal RNA", at positions 29 to 507 of the family's 1533-position model. The record is from RNAcentral.
AGUGAACGCUGGCGGUAGGCCUAACACAUGCAAGUCGAACGGCAGCACAGUAAGAGCUUGCUCUUACGGGUGGCGAGUGGCGGACGGGUGAGGAAUACAUCGGAAUCUACUUUUUCGUGGGGGAUAACGUAGGGAAACUUACGCUAAUACCGCAUACGACCUACGGGUGAAAGCAGGGGAUCUUCGGACCUUGCGCGAUUGAAUGAGCCGAUGUGGGAUUAGCUAGUUGGCGGGGUAAAGGCCCACCAAGGCGACGAUCCGUAGCUGGUCUGAGAGGAUGAUCGGCCACACUGGAACUGAGACACGGUCCAGACUCCUGCGGGAGGCAGCAGUGGGGAAUAUUGGACAAUGGGCGCAAGCCUGAUCCAGCCAUACCGCGUGGGUGAAGAAGGCCUUCGGGUUGUAAAGCCCUUUUGUUGGGAAAGAAAAGCAGCAGGUUAAUACCCCGCUGUUCUGACGGUACCCAAAGAAUAAGCACCGGCUAACUUCGUG